RNAcentral lists this ribosomal RNA (320 nucleotides) under Candidula rugosiuscula. RNAcentral's name for it is "partial 16S ribosomal RNA". The record is from RNAcentral. Lineage: Eukaryota; Metazoa; Mollusca; Gastropoda; Stylommatophora; Geomitridae.
GGCUUAUAAUUGAAGUCUGGCAUGAAAGAAUCUACGGGUAGUCACUGUCUUCGUUGGUUUUUCUGAACUUCCUUAAGAGGUGAAAAUGCCUUUAGAUAUAAAAUAGACGAGAAGACCCUAGAAAUUUUUUACAUAUUUAGAUUGAUCUAUUUUCUAUUUUGUUGGGGCGACAGAAUAACAUUUAACUUAUUUUAUUAAUGAGCACUAUGUAAUGUGAGAAAAGAAAUUACUCUAGGGAUAACAGCAUAAUUUUAUUAGUUUGUGACCUCGAUGUUGGACUAGGGAUUUUAUUAACCAGCAGUUAACUGAACAUGCUCUGU